RNAcentral lists this transfer RNA (72 nucleotides) under Stegodyphus mimosarum. It matches the Rfam family "tRNA". Rfam says of the family: Transfer RNA (tRNA) molecules are approximately 80 nucleotides in length. Lineage: Eukaryota; Metazoa; Arthropoda; Arachnida; Araneae; Eresidae. The record is from Rfam by way of RNAcentral.
GCCUUCGUGGUGUAGUGGUCAGCACGCUGGGCGUGUAUCCAAAGGUCCAUGGUUCGAGUCCUGCCGAAGGUG